RNAcentral lists this ribosomal RNA (318 nucleotides) under uncultured bacterium. Its description in RNAcentral is "bacterial SSU rRNA". It matches the Rfam family "Bacterial small subunit ribosomal RNA", at positions 179 to 509 of the family's 1533-position model. The record is from RNAcentral.
CACAGUACCGCAUGGUACAGGGUGAAAAGAUUUAUCACUGUAAGAUGGACCCGCGUCUGAUUAGCCAGUUGGCAGGGUAACGGCCGUACCAAAGCGACGAUCAGUAGCCGACCUGAGAGGGUGAUCGGCCACAUUGGGACUGAGACACGGGCCCAAAACGUCCCUACGGGAGGCAGCAGUGGGGGAUAUUGGCACAAUGGAGGAAACUCUGAUGCAGCGACGCCGCGUGAGUGAAGAAGUAUUUCGGUAUGUAAAGCUCUAUUCAGCAGGGAAGAUAAUGACAGUACCUGACCAAGAAGCCCCGGCUAACUACGUGCC